GACUGGGAGAACUGCAGAAACCUUUCCAUUUUCAUGAUGAGACUGUUAUAACCACCCCUCAGUUCAUUGAGUCCCUCCUCACCUUUGGAAGGAAGCCCAAAAUUGACCGGAGAGUUAAUCAUGAAGCUAAACUCAGUGAGAAGAGGAAAUGUCUACUUUGCAGAGAUGGUGUAUUAAAAGCAUUUGUCUACAAGAUGAAUAAAAGGUGGAUUUUCAUAUGAUGCUGAGCACAGAAAGUAUGCUGCCUUAGCAAUGAGCUGAUGAUAUCAUCUUCAUCAUUACUGAUUGCGCUAUUCGGAGAGAAGCUAACAUUCGGUUUGGCUGAGUGAGUGGAGAUAUCUCUGAACUGACUAGAAUGUAAUUUCUGUAAGAUGUUGGUUGGUUUGUAGUAGUCUUAUCUGAGUGAACAAUCAAUCCUAGUUGAGAUUGGACCCAUAUAUCUCAUGCAUACAUUGAAUUUGUAUAUCUGUUGGAUCUGAAGCUGUCAAAAUUCUAAAUAAUUUUAUAGCCCUGUUGUUUGAAUUGUAGCUGAAUGCUGACCUUUGUAAAGCCAACCACAUCCAAGCAGAUAUAACUACAAUAUUCCCAAAUCUGGGAAUCUGCUUCACCUGCCUCUACUUGCUUUUAUUUAGGACUUUUCUUAUAUCCUUGGAAGCUGCGACUUUCUGACCAUACCCACUUGAGAUGUUUCUGGAGAAUCUGUUCUCAGGUGUGACUUUUGUUUGAUUAGGUGAAAGCAAAUAAAUUACAAGAUCAGCCUUCUGUUGUGAAAAAUCCAGUACUUGUAGACAUGUUAUAUCUGCCAUGUUUAGAAUGAUGAGUAAUUUAAGUAUUACAAGGAAAGUUUAAUUUUUCUAUUUGAGGUGUUUUGUCAUCGAUUUAAGGUGUGGUUCAGCGAUAUUUGAAGUAUAUAAACUGAUGGACUUUUAGUUGCAUAUGAUACAAGAUCUGAAAUAAUGAAGCCAAUACUUUUGCACAGGACUUGUAACACAAGGAACACCAAGAUGUUUAUGAUGCAUUAGCACACGCAUAAUUUCAUUCAUGGUCUCUUGGAUGCUAUGUAAAUACCAUUUGUAGCAGGUCAAAUUCAAAUCACAUUAAUAGUCAUAUAGGCCAGUCAUGUUUUUG
This is a long non-coding RNA of Dromaius novaehollandiae (emu), 1128 nucleotides long. RefSeq lists it as uncharacterized. Lineage: Eukaryota; Metazoa; Chordata; Aves; Casuariiformes; Dromaiidae. The record is from RefSeq and is a predicted model, not a curated record. The transcript has 3 exons.